Molecule: long non-coding RNA, 871 nt
Filed under: Anas platyrhynchos platyrhynchos (common mallard)
Lineage: Eukaryota; Metazoa; Chordata; Aves; Anseriformes; Anatidae
Description: lncRNA (ENSAPLG00000031211.1)
Source: RNAcentral
GUGUUUUUCUCCGAGAACCUGCAGCAGAUUGCCUAUAAUUGCUCAUUGCUCUCCAUUAGUGUAUCUCCCUCCUGGCAACUCUUUAAUAGUUUACAUCUCUUGGGGCUGAAAAUUACUAUUUUAAUUAAAACAAUUUGUUUCAAAUGGGGCUCCCAAAUCCCCACACGAUGUUUUAGGAGCCCUGGGCGAAGAACAGAAAAUGGAGAGGAGCAAUUGUUUUUAGGGCUAAGAGUGAAGCUGAAUGUAGGAGUUUGGGAUUCGUGAGCCAUUUCUGAGGCCCAACCUUGCAGCUGAGGAAACGAACCCUCCAACGCGGAGGCUCUGAGAAGCAAUGAUUUUCUGGAGAAGAAAAAGAAAAUGCCAAGAAAAAGAGCUCUGAGCGCUUAAAUGCUACAACAACACGCUUUGGAAGUGGGAGGGAGCAGCCAGAGCCAUGCGUGUGCCAUUUGUUCUUCCUGCACGUGCCGAGCUGGAGGCUCGUGGUUGCUGUGCCAUUUCUCAGUUCCUGAGGGUUUUGUGCCUGCUGCCAGCUGUGCCCAGGGCUCCUGCUGCGUGCUGGAGCGAGUCCUUCGUCAGGCAUCGAGGGGAAGGACUUGGGAAGUUUCCAUAUCUGGGCCUGGGCCCCGAUGUCUGGAGUGCUGGAUUCACCAUACACCAGCAGCACAACGAUCAGCCGCUUCAUUCCAAGCACCUGCCUGCCUGCAAAACGUCCUUGCUCUGCGCUGAUGGCAGCCUUUGUGAUAGUUUCUGGGAAGCUGAUGCUCGCACGUGUGCCAGGGACUGGCUGGUGAGUGCAGACAGGAUUCCCUUCUGGACCAAGCCACCGACGAGAUGGGUUUUUUGCAGCUCCAGCUGCACAGGUACAAUGUAA